UCGUCAUAUGCGUAAGCAUGCGCAGGUUCGAAUCCUGCCGUCUGCAGCAGACGUGGCCGAGCGGUCCAAGGCGUGACGUUCAGG
Non-coding RNA from Cyanidioschyzon merolae strain 10D, 84 nucleotides. NCBI's taxonomy places the organism in Eukaryota, Rhodophyta, Bangiophyceae, Cyanidiales, Cyanidiaceae. The record is from the annotation of a RefSeq genome assembly.